AUUGUCUUUUCAAGUGUGUUUAUAUAACUUUAAUUUUACAGUUGAAACAUGGACUCAUAAUGAAAUGUAAGUACUAACUAUAUUAUCCUUGAAAUAAUUAAGGAUUUCAAUUUGUAAGUUAUAGAUGUGAGCAAACAUUUCUUAGAAUGGCUUGUGACUGUUUAAAACUUGGAGUGUUUACAGUCAUUGAUGAUGUUUAGCAUGAUUGGAGUACCUGCUAGUUAAUCAUGUAUAUAUUUAUAGGUGGCAGGUUGAAACUACACCAGGUGUGGCGGUUUUUAGUAUUUUGCUGUGUAUGUUUGUAUGAGUUUUGCUACGGAAUUUUCAAAAUACUUUGUGAAUGCUCAUCAUGCAUGUCAAAU
Molecule: unclassified non-coding RNA, 362 nt
Filed under: Hevea brasiliensis (rubber tree)
Lineage: Eukaryota; Viridiplantae; Streptophyta; Magnoliopsida; Malpighiales; Euphorbiaceae
Source: RNAcentral